AGAGUUUGAUCCUGGCUCAGAUUGAACGCUGGCGGCAUGCCUUACACAUGCAAGUCGAACGGUAACGCGGGGGCAACCCUGGCGACGAGUGGCGAACGGGUGAGUAAUACAUCGGAACAUAUCCAGUAGCGGGGGAUAACCUAUCGAAAGAUGGACUAAUACCGCAUACGAUCUACGGAUGAAAGCAGGGGACCGCAAGGCCUUGCACUAUUGGAGUGGCCGAUGUCGGAUUAGCUAGUUGGUGAGGUAAAGGCUACCAAGGCGACGAUCCGUAGCUGGUCUGAGAGGACGAUCAGCCACACUGGAACUGAGACACGGUCCAGACUCCUACGGGAGGCAGCAGUGGGGAAUUUUGGACAAUGGGCGCAAGCCUGAUCCAGCCAUGCCGCGUGAGUGAAGAAGGCCUUCGGGUUGUAAAGCUCUUUCGGUGAAGACGAAACGGUUAGCGCUAAUAACGCUGACUAAUGACGGUACUCACAGAAGAAGCACCGGCUAACUACGUGCCGGCAGCCGCGGUAAUACGUAGGGUGCAGGCGUUAAUCGGAAUUACUGGGCGUAAAGCGUGCGCAGGCGGUUUGCUAAGACAGGUGUGAAAUCCCCGAGCUUAACUUGGGAAUUGCGCUUGUAACUGGCAAGCUAGAGUGUGGCAGAGGGGGGUGGAAUUCCACGUGUAGCAGUGAAAUGCGUAGAUAUGUGGAGGAACACCGAUGGCGAAGGCAGCCCCCUGGGUUAACACUGACGCUCAUGCACGAAAGCGUGGGGAGCAAACAGGAUUAGAUACCCUGGUAGUCCACGCCCUAAACUAUGUCAACUAGUUGUCGGGGAAGAAAUUCCUUGGUAACGAAGCUAACGCGUGAAGUUGACCGCCUGGGGAGUACGGCCGCAAGGUUAAAACUCAAAGGAAUUGACGGGGACCCGCACAAGCGGUGGAUUAUGUGGAUUAAUUCGAUGCAACGCGAAAAACCUUACCUACCCUUGACAUGCUAGGAAGCCCGCAGAGAUGUGGGUGUGCCCGAAAGGGAACCUAGACACAGGUGCUGCAUGGCUGUCGUCAGCUCGUGUCGUGAGAUGUUGGGUUAAGUCCCGCAACGAGCGCAACCCUUGCCAUUAGUUGCUACAUUCAGUUGGGCACUCUAAUGGGACCGCCGGUGACAAACCGGAGGAAGGUGGGGAUGGCGUCAAGUCCUCAUGGCCCUUAUGGGUAGGGCUUCACACGUAAUACAAUGGUCGGUACAGAGGGCUGCCAACCCGCAAGGGGGAGCUAAUCCCAGAAAGCCGAUCGUAGUCCGGAUUGUAGUCAGCAACUCGACUGCAUGAAGCCGGAAUCGCUAGUAAUCGCGGAUCAGCAUGUCGCGGUGAAUACGUUCCCGGGUCUUGUACACACCGCCCGUCACACCAUGGGAGUGGGUUCCACCAGAAGUAGUUAGCCUAACCGCAAGGAGGGCGAUUACCACGGUGAGAUUCAUGACUGGGGUGAAGUCGUAACAAGGUA
Molecule: ribosomal RNA, 1492 nt
Filed under: metagenome
Description: bacterial SSU rRNA
Rfam family: Bacterial small subunit ribosomal RNA
Source: RNAcentral